RNAcentral lists this ribosomal RNA (253 nucleotides) under uncultured bacterium. RNAcentral's name for it is "partial 16S ribosomal RNA". It matches the Rfam family "Bacterial small subunit ribosomal RNA", at positions 524 to 776 of the family's 1533-position model. The record is from RNAcentral.
UACGGAGGGGGCAAGCGUUGUUCGGAAUUAUUGGGCGUAAAGGGCGCGUAGGCGGCUGGUCAAGUCAGGUGUGAAAUCCCUCGGCUCAACCGAGGAAUGGCACUUGAUACUGACCGGCUGGAGUCCGGGAGGGGGUAGCGGAAUUCCCAGUGUAGCGGUGAAAUGCGUAGAUAUUGGGAAGAACACCUGUAGCGAAGGCGGCUACCUGGACCGGAACUGACGCUGAGGCGCGAAAGCCAGGGGAGCGAAUGGG